Molecule: ribosomal RNA, 495 nt
Filed under: uncultured bacterium
Lineage: Bacteria
Description: partial 16S ribosomal RNA
Rfam family: Bacterial small subunit ribosomal RNA
Source: RNAcentral
UGAACGCUGGCGGCGUGCCUACUACAUGCAAGUCGAGCGAACGGACGUGAAGCUUGCUUCUCUGAUGUUAGCGGCGGACGGGUGAGUAACACGUGGAUAACCUACCUAUAAGACUGGGAUAACUUCGGGAAACCGGAGCUAAUACCGGAUGAUAUUUUGAACCGCAUGGUUCAAAAGUGAAAGACGGUCUUGCUGUCACUUAUAGAUGGAUCCGCGCUGCAUUAGCUAGUUGGUAAGGUAACGGCUUACCAAGGCAACGAUGCAUAGCCGACCUGAGAGGGUGAUCAGCCACACUGGAACUGAGACACGGUCCAGACUCCUACGGGAGGCAGCAGUAGGGAAUCUUCCGCAAUGGGCGAAAGCCUGACGGAGCAACGCCGCGUGAGUGAUGAAGGUCUUCGGAUCGUAAAACUCUGUUAUUAGGGAAGAACAUAUGUGUAAGUAACUGUGCACAUCUUGACGGUACCUAAUCAGAAAGCCACGGCUAACUACGUG